CGGACGGGUGAGUAAUGUCUGGGAAACUGCCUGAUGGAGGGGGAUAACUACUGGAAACGGUAGCUAAUACCGCAUAACGUCGCAAGACCAAAGAGGGGGACCUUCGGGCCUCCUGCCAUCGGAUGUGCCCAGAUGGGAUUAGCUAGUAGGUGGGGUAAAGGCUCACCUAGGCGACGAUCCCUAGCUGGUCUGAGAGGAUGACCAGCCACACUGGAACUGAGACACGGUCCAG
This 232-nucleotide ribosomal RNA is filed under the name uncultured bacterium. Its description in RNAcentral is "partial 16S ribosomal RNA". It matches the Rfam family "Bacterial small subunit ribosomal RNA", at positions 99 to 334 of the family's 1533-position model. The record is from RNAcentral.